AUGUUUCUCGAGAGAGACUGCCUUCUCUCUGGCUAGCAGUCUUAUGCUUAUAGUCGACUGCUCUAUGACGAUCUGACCUCUUUCCUGGGCUCUGCUUGCUCGUCUACACUCCGACAAAUUCAGUCAAAAUAAAAAACGAUGUUCCCUUGA
Molecule: ribosomal RNA, 150 nt
Filed under: Triticum aestivum (bread wheat)
Lineage: Eukaryota; Viridiplantae; Streptophyta; Magnoliopsida; Poales; Poaceae
Description: partial small subunit ribosomal RNA
Source: RNAcentral